Molecule: transfer RNA, 73 nt
Filed under: Acidimicrobiales bacterium
Lineage: Bacteria; Bacillati; Actinomycetota; Acidimicrobiia; Acidimicrobiales
Description: tRNA-Lys
Rfam family: tRNA
About the family: Transfer RNA (tRNA) molecules are approximately 80 nucleotides in length.
Source: RNAcentral
GCCCCUGUGGCCAAGUAGGUAAGGCAGCGGACUUUUAAUCCGACGAUCGUGGGUUCGAGUCCCACCGGGGGCA